Molecule: ribosomal RNA, 253 nt
Filed under: uncultured bacterium
Lineage: Bacteria
Description: partial 16S ribosomal RNA
Rfam family: Bacterial small subunit ribosomal RNA
Source: RNAcentral
UACGAAGGGGGCUAGCGUUGUUCGGAAUUACUGGGCGUAAAGCGUGCGCAGGCGGCCUUCCAAGUCAGGGGUGAAAGCCCAGAGCUCAACUCUGGAAUUGCCUUUGAGACUGUGAGGCUUGAGUACGGGAGAGGUGAGUGGAAUUCCCAGUGUAGAGGUGAAAUUCGUAGAUAUUCGGAAGAACACCAGUGGCGAAGGCGACAUACUGGUCCGUUACUGACGCUGAGGCUCGAAAGCGUGGGGAGCAAACAGG